Molecule: unclassified non-coding RNA, 358 nt
Filed under: soil metagenome
Description: partial contains 5.8S ribosomal RNA, internal transcribed spacer 2, and large subunit ribosomal RNA
Rfam family: 5.8S ribosomal RNA (bases 1-120)
Source: RNAcentral
GAUGAAGAACGUAGCGAAAUGCGAUAAGUAAUGUGAAUUGCAGAAUUCAGUGAAUCAUCGAAUCUUUGAACGCACAUUGCGCCCGCCAGUAUUCUGGCGGGCAUGCCUGUCCGAGCGUCAUUUCAACCCUCGAACCCCUCCGGGGGGUCGGCGUUGGGGACCUCGGGAGCCCCUAAGACGGGAUCCCGGCCCCGAAAUACAGUGGCGGUCUCGCCGCAGCCUCUCCUGCGCAGUAGUUUGCACAACACGCACCGGGAGCGCGGCGCGUCCACGUCCGUAAAACACCCAACUUCUGACAUGUUGACCUCGGAUCAGGUAGGAAUACCCGCUGAACUUAAGCAUAUCAAUAAGCGGAGGA